UCGGUCCCCGCAUGAGGACUGAUUGAAAACGUCAGUGGUCACGGAUUGGCUCGCGUCCCAUUAGCUAGUCGGCGGGGUAACGGCCCACCGAGGCGACGAUGGGUAGGGGUUCUGAGAGGAAGGUCCCCCACAAUGGAACUGAGACACGGUCCAUACUCCUACGGGAGGCAGCAGUGAGGAAUAUUGGUCAAUGGGCGGAAGCCUGAACCAGCCAUGCCGCGUGCGGGACGACGGCCCUACGGGUUGUAAACCGCUUUUGUGUGUGAGCAAUAAGGCGGCUUAGCGCCGCUGAUGAGAGUAGCAUACGAAUAAGCAUCGGCUAACUCCGUGCCAGCAGCCGCGGUAAUACGGAGGAUGCGAGCGUUAUCCGGAUUCAUUGGGUUUAAAGGGUGCGUAGGCUGUGCGUUAAGUCAGGGGUGAAAUACCGUCGCUCAACGUCGGGGCUGCCCUUGAUACUGGCGUGCUGGAGUGCGGAUGCCGCCGGAGGAAUGAGUGGUGUAGCGGUGAAAUGCUUAGAUAUCACUCAGAACACCGAUUGCGAAGGCAUCUGGCGAAUCCGUAACUGACGCUGAGGCACGAAAGCGUGGGGAUAGAACAGGAUUAGAUACCCUGGUAUUCCACGCCGUAAACGAUGAUGGCUAACCGCCGGCGACACAAUGUCGGUGGCCAAGCGAAAGCGAUAAGCCAUCCACCUGGGGAG
Molecule: ribosomal RNA, 700 nt
Filed under: uncultured rumen bacterium
Lineage: Bacteria
Description: bacterial SSU rRNA
Rfam family: Bacterial small subunit ribosomal RNA
Source: RNAcentral